GUGGGGAAUUUUGGACAAUGGGCGCAAGCCUGAUCCAGCAAUGCCGCGUGCAGGAAGAAGGCCUUCGGGUUGUAAACUGCUUUUGUACGGAACGAAACGGUCCGGGUUAAUACCCUGGGCUAAUGACGGUACCGUAAGAAUAAGCACCGGCUAACUACGUGCCAGCAGCCGCGGUAAUACGUAGGGUGCAAGCGUUAAUCGGAAUUACUGGGCGUAAAGCGUGCGCAGGCGGGUUUGUAAGACAGGCGUGAAAUCCCCGGGCUCAACCUGGGAAUUGCGCUUGUGACUGCAAGGCUGGAGUGCGGCAGAGGGGGAUGGAAUUCCGCGUGUAGCAGUGAAAUGCGUAGAUAUGCGGAGGAACACCGAUGGCGAAGGCAAUCCCCUGGGCCUGCACUGACGCUCAUGCACGAAAGCGUGGGGAGCAAACAGGAUUAGAAACCCGGGUAGUCC
This 450-nucleotide ribosomal RNA is filed under the name uncultured bacterium. Its description in RNAcentral is "bacterial SSU rRNA". It matches the Rfam family "Bacterial small subunit ribosomal RNA", at positions 354 to 796 of the family's 1533-position model. The record is from RNAcentral.